Molecule: ribosomal RNA, 258 nt
Filed under: uncultured bacterium
Lineage: Bacteria
Description: partial 16S ribosomal RNA
Rfam family: Bacterial small subunit ribosomal RNA
Source: RNAcentral
UGGCGGACGGGUGAGUAACGCGUGGAAAACCUGCCGUAUACUGGGGGAUAACACUUAGAAAUAGGUGCUAAUACCGCAUAAGCGCACAGCUUCGCAUGAAGCGGUGUGAAGAACUCUGGUGGUAUACGAUGGUUCCGCGUCUGAUUAGCUAGUUGGUGGGGUAAUGGCCUACCAAGGCAACGAUCAGUAGCCGGCCUGAGAGGGUGAACGGCCACAUUGGGACUGAGACACGGCCCAAACUCCUACGGAAGGCAGCAG